RNAcentral lists this ribosomal RNA (641 nucleotides) under Modestobacter sp. I12A-02657. Its description in RNAcentral is "bacterial SSU rRNA". It matches the Rfam family "Bacterial small subunit ribosomal RNA", at positions 94 to 748 of the family's 1533-position model. Lineage: Bacteria; Bacillati; Actinomycetota; Actinomycetes; Geodermatophilales; Geodermatophilaceae. The record is from RNAcentral.
AGCGGCGAACGGGUGAGUAACACGUGGGCAACCUGCCCUCAGCUCUGGGAUAACUCCAAGAAAUUGGUGCUAAUACCGGAUGUGACCGCUGACCGCAUGGUCUGGUGGUGGAAAGAUUCAUCGGCUGAGGAUGGGCCCGCGGCCUAUCAGCUUGUUGGUGGGGUGAUGGCCUACCAAGGCGACGACGGGUAGCCGGCCUGAGAGGGUGACCGGCCACACUGGGACUGAGACACGGCCCAGACUCCUACGGGAGGCAGCAGUGGGGAAUAUUGCGCAAUGGGCGAAAGCCUGACGCAGCGACGCCGCGUGGGGGAUGACGGCCUUCGGGUUGUAAACCUCUUUCAGUAGGGACGAAGCGGAAGUGACGGUACCUACAGAAGAAGCACCGGCCAACUACGUGCCAGCAGCCGCGGUAAUACGUAGGGUGCAAGCGUUGUCCGGAAUUAUUGGGCGUAAAGAGCUCGUAGGCGGUCUGUCGCGUCGGCUGUGAAAACCCGAGGCUCAACCUCGGGCCUGCAGUCGAUACGGGCAAACUAGAGUGUUGCAGGGGAGACUGGAAUUCCUGGUGUAGCGGUGAAAUGCGCAGAUAUCAGGAGGAACACCGGUGGCGAAGGCGGGUCUCUGGGCAACAACUGACGCUG